RNAcentral lists this long non-coding RNA (984 nucleotides) under Olea europaea subsp. europaea. Lineage: Eukaryota; Viridiplantae; Streptophyta; Magnoliopsida; Lamiales; Oleaceae. The record is from RNAcentral.
CACCAACUUUGCACGUUAGGAAGUUAAAUGCCAUGUAACUUUCCCCCAAAACACGCCUCUUCUUCUGGUAGGUAAACCCUAACCCCAAAUCGAUCCAUUGAAAAGUCCCCAAAUCAAAUACUCUCCAGACAAUUUCUAGAUCUGAAAUUGAAGAACAAAUCGUGGCCGGGGAGCUCGAAUUUGUAAAGUGCCAUUGGUGAAGCUGUUGACAUGGAUGGAAGAAACGGAGGUAAUUUCGAAUUUUUAUUUUCUAAAUACGCAUCAUUCACCUUCGUCGUCAGUGGCUUCGAUUUUUUAUUUUUCGGAAUAUGAUGAUAUUUGUCAGAUUGUUCCUUCGUCUUCAUCGUCUUCCAUUUUCAAAAUAUACUGUUGAGAUGAUCCAUUUCGUGUAUCAUUUUUAUUUGGUGAGUAGCCCAUGAACAUUGUAUUUAUUCAAAUUGAUUUACCUUGAGCAAAUUUUGAUUUUAGUCAAAAAGGGAAAAUGAUAUUGAGACAUAGGGCGUGCUAUUGUUGUUCCUGUUGCUUGAUAUGAGUUGUUUCCUGUUGAGAAUUCUGUUACGCUUCAUAUUUGAAUCGAUCAGAGUGGCCACGUGGAGGCAUUAUACACAGACAUCUGGCAGUCAGCGAACUCAAAGAGAGGGAACAAGCUGCUCUUUGGCCAAGGUGCUAUCCUUUCCCGAAGUUCUUUGUCGAAGCACUUCCUCAUAAAGCUGAACCUCUUCACAUUCGACGCUCCCUCUCUUGAGGCCAAAGUGCUCGCUGCCUUUAAAGUAGGUCUGAAGAGCAUCUUUAUGGAUGAUUGAUAAAACAUUUGUAUUAAUGCAUGUCACAGAGCGAUUGACCCCUUGUCAAUGUAAUUAAUGUAUGGCUGAGAGUGAUUUAUGUCUCGAUCGUUGGAAUGAGGCCAUGCGUUUUUGAUCCAACAAUGAUCACGUCUUAGCUCUAUAAAUAGCAGCUCUUGUAACAAGUAAAGAGAUUGGGAAA